Molecule: long non-coding RNA, 380 nt
Organism: Cucurbita maxima (winter squash)
Lineage: Eukaryota; Viridiplantae; Streptophyta; Magnoliopsida; Cucurbitales; Cucurbitaceae
Exons: 2
Source: RefSeq, a predicted model, not a curated record
UCUCCAAUUCUUUCUCUACACCCACAAAUUGCCUUUCUCAAUUCGCUUCUUGCCUCUUUCUUCUCUCUCUCUAUCUCUCUCUUCCAGUCGCUUACACUUCGCUGAUUGUAACAGCCCUAUGCUUGAUCCAGUAAUUUGAAAUUGUUGAUUGGGAAUUCUGGGGUGAGGAGAAGGAUCAUGCUCACGGUGCUUAAACGAAUUAUAUUGAUAAGAGUUUUAUUAUGGGUAACCUUCUUGGAUUAUUUGGUGUACACACUCAUUGUCUGGUAAAAAACUAUAAUUUUGUUCUCAUAUAUGGCGAUCUCUGGGGUAAAUCUGUAAUGUUUCUGCAAACUUGGUCCAUUUGAAUGUUAUUUGCUGCUGUUGGUAUAGAAUGCUCA